This 1465-nucleotide ribosomal RNA is filed under the name metagenome. RNAcentral's name for it is "bacterial SSU rRNA". It matches the Rfam family "Bacterial small subunit ribosomal RNA". The record is from RNAcentral.
UGAGUUUGAUCCUGGCUCAGGAUGAACGCUGGCGGCGUGCUUAAUACAUGCAAGUCGAACGGAGAACUUUGUAGCAAUACGAGGUUUCUCAGUGGCGAACGGGUGAGUAACGCGUUGGUGACCUGCCCCGAAGUGUGGGAUAACAGUCCGAAAGGAUUGCUAAUACCGCAUGUGGUCAUCGGAUUUAGAAACCGAUGAUUAAAGGAGUAAUUCGCUUCGGGAGGGACCUGCGUCCCAUCAGCUAGUUGGUGAGGUAACGGCCCACCAAGGCGUCGACGGGUAAGGGACCUGAGAGGGUGGUCCCUCACAAUGGCACUGAAACACGGGCCAUACACCUACGGGUGGCAGCAGUAGGGAAUAUUGGGCAAUGGGCGAAAGCCUGACCCAGCAACGCCGCGUGCACGAUGAAGGCCUUCGGGUCGUAAAGUGCUUUUCUGAGAGAUGAGAAAGGACAGUAUCUCAGGAAUAAGCCUCGGCUAACUACGUGCCAGCAGCCGCGGUAAAACGUAGGAGGCAAGCGUUAUCCGGAUUUACUGGGCGUAAAGCGCGUGCAGGCGGUUCGGUAAGUUGGAUGUGAAAUCUCCCGGCUCAACUGGGAGGGGUCGUUCAAUACUACCGAACUUGAGGGCAUCAGAGGAAGGUGGAAUUCCCGGUGUAGUGGUGAAAUGCGUAGAUAUCGGGAGGAACACCAGUGGCGAAAGCGGCCUUCUGGGAUGUUUCUGACGCUCAGACGCGAAAGCUAGGGUAGCAAACGGGAUUAGAGACCCCGGUAGUCCUAGCAGUAAACGAUGUAGACUUGGCGUCGGUGGGUUCAAAACCAUCGGUGUCGAAGCUAACGCGAUAAGUCUACCGCCUGGGGACUACGGCCGCAAGGUUAAAACUCAAAGGAAUUGACGGGGGCCCGCACAAGCAGCGGAGCGUGUGGUUUAAUUCGAUUCUACACGAAGAACCUUACCCGGGUUUGACAUGCAGAUGGUAGGGAUCCGAAAGGUGACCGACCCGCAAGGGAGUCUGCACAGGUGCUGCAUGGCUGUCGUCAGCUCGUGUCGUGAGAUGUUCGGUUAAGUCCGCUAACGAGCGCAACCCUCGCUACGUGUUACAUGUGUCACGUGGGACCGCCGGUAUCAAGCCGGAGGAAGGUGGGGAUGACGUCAAGUCAGCAUGGCCUUUAUGUCCGGGGCUACACACACGCUACAAUGGUCGGUACAAUGGGUCGCUAAGCCGCGAGGUAGAGCCAAUCCCCAAAGCCGGCCUCAGUUCUGAUCACAGGCUGCAACCCGCCUGUGUGAAGUCGGAGUUGCUAGUAAACGCGCGUCAGCUAUAGUGCGUUGAAUACGUUCUCGGGCCUUGUACACACCGCCCGUCACGUCAUGGGAGCUGGUAACACCUGAAGCCGGUAGCCUAACCGUAAGGAGGGCGCUGUCGAAGGUGGUGCUGGUGACUGGGACGAAGUCGUAACAAGGUA